This is a long non-coding RNA of Salvelinus fontinalis (brook trout), 1534 nucleotides long. RefSeq lists it as uncharacterized. The transcript has 2 exons. The record is from RefSeq and is a predicted model, not a curated record. Lineage: Eukaryota; Metazoa; Chordata; Actinopteri; Salmoniformes; Salmonidae.
AUGGGCCUGGCUGACAUGAAAAAUACAUUAGGGGAAAGGAUCCAUAGAUACAGAGGCUGAUUAUCUUUCUGCACAUCUCUUUAUUUACAAUGCUGGCUGUCAUGGUUAACAAAAAUGCAGGACAUUGAAUGCUACCUGAAUUGACUCAGAAAAGUAACAUAAAUAGGCCUAUAGUAUCACAGCAAGGUCAAACAGGUGUGUGUGUCAGAUUAUCCAGUGUCCACAGCAACAUCAUUGAUUAUUCCCUACUGUGAUGUGUACUAUGGUUUUAGCCAUGCUCUCACUAACACUCAUAUUUUCUCUUUCUCCCCUUACGUAGGUUCUUGGACCGCAACUGAGGACACCCUGGCCUGAUUCCUAGACGUGCCUGGGCCAAUCCCACCUGGCCCCCUUCUACCUGCCUGUUGGUGUCCUGAUUCCUAGACGUGCCUGGGCCAAUCCCACCUGGCCCCCUUCUACCUGCCUGUUGGUGUCCUGAUUCCUAGACAUGCCUGGGCCAAUCCCUGCUUGUUGCUGCCUCCACUGGUUCUUUCUCUCCCUCAAGUCAAAUGAACUCCCUCAUCUUUUCUCUGUCUCCUCUUCCAGAGGGCCUGAGGCUCUAGGACCGCAACUGAGGCUUGACACCUGGACGUGUUGUUUUGUUGUUCCAUGAUACAUGGCGUAGAUGUGUCUAUAGUCUGGGGCGACUUUACUUUUAAGGUGGCUGUUUUUACAUCUGUAGGACAAUUGCUGAAAUAUACGAUAUUGCAUUCGUAGGUAGGAUACAUUAUUCAGAGAAAUUGUAGGCAAAUUAUUUACAUGUUUUUGAGUGUGUUUGUCUGAUUUUGUAGAAUUCAUCACCAAAUGGAAUCACUGCUCUACUGUGAAGUUGUCACGUACCAUCCCAUACCAUCACAGACACAGUCCUCCUCCAGCCAGUGUCAUAGCCAUGCAGUGUGCCAGGUCUUCUGCUUGGGGUGGUUCUUCUCAUCCAUGAUAAUAACCUUCCCCACAUCCACUCUGACUUGAAGUACUAUUUUCUCCCAGUAGGGGACACCAGGAGGGUUUUCAAUGGCUUUUAGAAUGUCUCAACUAACAUAGACACCAGUUCCAAGAACACUUUAGUCUGCACUUGGUGUGAAACCAUUGUUCUUAAUCAACUCUGUUGUGGUGCCGUGGAACAUCACAUAUUCUGUCUGAUCUUCAGGAAGUGUGUUGUUGUCUAGGAAGUUGAUGUAGUAUGGACAGUUAGCCAUAAGCUAGUAACCAAACUGCAACUGAAUACACCUCUGCUGAGGUGAACAGUAUUAUAAGUCAAUACAAUGCACAAUUAGACUGUGUAAUAUGAAAUAGUCCUUUGGCUAAAACUGUUACACUAAAUAGUGAUAUUUAUACAAUAACAAUAUGCCGAAUCACUAUUGUUACAGUAAUAUUACAAGUGUUGUAACAUUAUCAUGCUUAACAUAGAAAUGUACUUUGUAAACAGGGAUUGUUUGAUAUAUCUAAGUUAAGUGUCCAAUAACAAGACUGUUUAAUAAAAAAUGUGUUUAUUAUA